RNAcentral lists this long non-coding RNA (787 nucleotides) under Pandoravirus celtis. RNAcentral's name for it is "hypothetical ncRNA". The record is from RNAcentral.
CGGCCGGCCUUGUGGAUGAUACGGGCGGGCGUACACCGGGUGCGUCGACAAAGACCACCAUGGGGUCGUCGGGCAGCGACGGCGGUGGUGCGCAUGCAAACAGGGCCGGAUCGGCUUCAAUGAUCACGUCGCCGCCACGGGCGUGCCUGUCGUGCGGCGCCCUUUGCGUCGCGUGAUGUCGCUGACGGACGGCAUCUUCUUCGCGUCGGUCGCAGGCGCGCAAAUUGUUGGUCAGCGAAUCUAGCAUGCGGUUGAUAUCGUCAAUGCCGGGCGCGCAGUCGGCCGCCGGGCCUUGCAUGGCGCCUCGGGUCCGUGCGCUCCCUUCUUUUUUUUCGCUGGUUUGUUGUUUGAUUUACCUUUGGUUUUCGUCUUUGGUGUUUGUCUUUGAUCUCGUCGAGGCUCACUCCUUUUUUUUUUACCGACAACAACAACAGAGACUGCCGUGUGUGCCAAAAGGCCUGGGCACAAAGAGAGGGAAAAAGUCGAUCAACGAUCAAGGUGUAUCGGCGGGCCGAGGAGGCGGCGCGACCCGAUCCUUUUCCCUUGACUCGACGGCGUGCGACACGCAAUGCACGACCGCGCCGUGCCGUCCUCAACGGCAGCACACGGCCGGCCCAGGCCGCCGGGUCCUUCACAGCGAGAACCAAAAAAAAAAGAGAGGCAAACUAGACCGGUCCGCGCUUUGUCUACUAUGCACAAAGACAGGACAAAUAGGCACGCAAUGAUGGACCCCUUUUGACAAAAAAAUGGGAAAUGAAAAUGGGGUGAUGUGCAAAUGUGCAAAAAA